UGGGGAAUAUUGCACAAUGGGCGGAAGCCUGAUGCAGCGACGCCGCGUGGGGGAUGAAGGCCUUCGGGUUGUAAACUCCUUUCGACAGGGACGAAGCGUAAGUGACGGUACCUGUAUAAGAAGCACCGGCUAACUACGUGCCAGCAGCCGCGGUAAUACGUAGGGUGCGAGCGUUGUCCGGAAUUACUGGGCGUAAAGAGCUCGUAGGUGGUUUGUCGCGUCGUCUGUGAAAUUCCGGGGCUUAACUCCGGGCGUGCAGGCGAUACGGGCUGACUUGAGUGCUGUAGGGGAGACUGGAAUUCCUGGUGUAGCGGUGAAAUGCGCAGAUAUCAGGAGGAAUACCGAUGGCGAAGGCAGGUCUCUGGGCAGUAACUGACGCUGAGGAGCGAAAGCAUGGGUAGCGAACAGGAUUAGAUACCCUGGUAGUCCAUGCCGUAAACGGUGGGCGCUAGGUGUAGGGGGCUUCCACGUCUUCUGUGCCGUAGCUAACGCAUUAAGCGCCCCGCCUGGGGAGUACGGCCGCAAGGCUA
Molecule: ribosomal RNA, 530 nt
Filed under: uncultured bacterium
Lineage: Bacteria
Description: bacterial SSU rRNA
Rfam family: Bacterial small subunit ribosomal RNA
Source: RNAcentral